GACGAACGCUGGCGGCGUGCUUAACACAUGCAAGUCGAACGGAAAGGCCCUGCUUUUGUGGGGUGCUCGAGUGGCGAACGGGUGAGUAACACGUGAGUAACCUGCCCUUGACUUUGGGAUAACUUCAGGAAACUGGGGCUAAUACCGGAUAGGAUCUCCUGCUGCAUGGUGGGGGUUGGAAAGUUUCGGCGGUUGGGGAUGGACUCGCGGCUUAUCAGCUUGUUGGUGGGGUAGUGGCUUACCAAGGCUUUGACGGGUAGACGGCCUGAGAGGGUGACCGGCCACAUUGGAACUGAGAUACGGCCCAGACUCCUACGGGAGGCAGCAGUGGAGAAUAUUGCACAAUGGGCGGAAGCCUGAUGCAGAAACGCCGCGUGCGUAAUGACGGCCUUCGGGUUGUAAACCGCUUUCGCCUGUGACGAAGCGUGAGUGACGGUAAUAGGUAAAGAAGCACCGGCUAACUACGUG
Molecule: ribosomal RNA, 468 nt
Filed under: uncultured bacterium
Lineage: Bacteria
Description: partial 16S ribosomal RNA
Rfam family: Bacterial small subunit ribosomal RNA
Source: RNAcentral